CAGCAGCCGCGGUAAUACAGAGGAUGCAAGCGUUAUCCGGAAUGAUUGGGCGUAAAGCGCACGUAGGCGGAUAUUUAAGUCAGGGGUGAAAUCCCAGAGCUCAACUCCGGAGCUGCCUUUGAUAUUGGGUAUCUUGAGUAUGGAAGAGGUGAGUGGAAUUCCGAGUGUAGAGGUGAAAUUCGUAGAUAUUCGGAGGAACACCAGUGGCGAAGGCGGCUCACUGGUCCAUUACUGACGCUGAGGUGCGAAAGCGUGGGGAGCAAACAGGAUUAGAUACCCCAGUAGUCCCUGUCUCUUAUAC
RNAcentral lists this ribosomal RNA (301 nucleotides) under uncultured bacterium. Its description in RNAcentral is "partial 16S ribosomal RNA". It matches the Rfam family "Bacterial small subunit ribosomal RNA", at positions 509 to 807 of the family's 1533-position model. The record is from RNAcentral.